Molecule: ribosomal RNA, 467 nt
Filed under: uncultured bacterium
Lineage: Bacteria
Description: partial 16S ribosomal RNA
Rfam family: Bacterial small subunit ribosomal RNA
Source: RNAcentral
GACGAACGCUGGCGGCGUGCUUAACACAUGCCAGUCGAACGGAAAGGCUCCAGCUUGCUGGUGUACUCGAGUGGCGAACGGGUGAGUAACAAGUGGGUAAUAUGCCCUGCACUCUGGGAUAAGCAUGGGAAACUGGGUCUAAUACUGGAUAUGAACUUCCCACUUAUGGGGUUUGGUGGAAAGUUUUUCGGUGUAGGAUGAGCCCGCGGCCUAUCAGCUUGUUGGUGGGGUGAUGGCCUACCAAGGCGACGACGGGUAGCCGGCCUGAGAGGGUGAUCGGCCACAUUGGGACUGAGAUACGGCCCAGACUCCUACGGGAGGCAGCAGUGGGGAAUAUGACACAAUGGUCGGGAGCCUAAUGCGGCGACGCCGCGUGUGGGAAGACGGCCUUGGGGUUGUAAACCUCUUUCAGCAGAGACGAAGCGUAAGUGACGGUACCUGCAGAAGAAGCACCGGCUAACUAUGUG